AUGCAGACUUGCCUGCCCCCACCUCCCCCACACCACCCCGUCCCAACAUGGAUCACGUCUAGGUGUGUGGAGCCCAUUAUAAAAACACAGGAAACAACACCUUUCCAACAGCAGCGAAGGAGGACCAGAGGGAGACAUCAGCCUUGGAAUGAGCGGAGCCCUGGAGCCGGCUCCCUGCUCCGUGCACAGCGCAUCACUUUUCCAUCUGCAGUGGGACAAGGCCGUGUGUCUAAGACGGUCCAUUUCCAGCACGAGGAUGCUUCCUGGGACCCACGCGUCAGCAGCUCCCAGCAGGCGCUGCAGGGUCGGAAACUCUUUGUCCUCUCACAAGUCCGCGUUUGCACAAGUCUUUCUCCUGAUGGUUGGCCUGUGCUAAGGAACAGACAGACUUCUUGCUUUCAGACGUGUUCGGUACUGUUGAGGAGACAAGGGGAUUUUUUUUCAGAUCAUGAACAAUAAAACAGGACAAAAUAUAUAGCUAAAGAUGUAGAGGAGAAGGGGGCAUGGCUUGAGGAUUGGUCACUCUGUAUCAGAAAAGUUUCCUGACUACGACCCCCAAGGGUCAUGGGACAGGGUUAGUCUUAGAGGAGGUGGGGGUGUGAGCAGCAUCAACAGGGGGUGAUAUUUUCCAGGAGCGAGGGCCAGGCCAUGCUGCAGGCUUCAUGCUGGAUGGCAGCGGGGAACGAGCCUGGACACGAGGGUUGUUAUAGGAGAGCGGUCAUGUGUGUCCUUGCCUCUCUUCUAGGUGGGCUGAUGGCUUCCUUCUCUGACCACAGACUGGACCCUGGGACCAGGCUGUGAGAACUCAGCCUUGUGAUGGGAUCCUGACCUCACAAAGGCCUGGCUGCUCUUGGGUGUGGCGGCCCCCUACCUUGUGGACACCCCAUGGCCCCACACAUCCUACUGUGUGUCCAUCCCAGGAGCCAGCGUCCCCACCUCUGCCUCCUGGGACCAGCUGUUCUCCAUCCUCCGCAACCCCUACCCCUACCCCCGAGACAGUAAGUACCGACUCUCUUUGCCAGGCCUGACUCUCAGUUCAGUUCAGUCGCUCAGUCGUGUCCAACUCUCUGUGACCCCAUGGACUGCACAGCAUGCCAGGCUUCCCUGUCCAUCACCAUCUCUUAGAGCUUGCUCAAACUCAGUUAUGCCAUCCAACCAUCUCAUCCUCUGUCAUCCCCUUCCCUUCCUCCCCUCAAUCUUUCCCAGCAUCAGGGUUUUUUCCAGUGAGUCAGUUCUUCCCAUCAGGUGGCCAAAGUAUUGGAGUUUCAGCUUCAGCAUCAGUCCUUCCAAUGAAUAUUCAGGACUGAUUUCCUUUAGGGUGGACUGGUUGGAUCUCCUUGCAGACCAAGGGACUCUCAAGAGACUUCAACACCACAGUUCAAAAUCAUCAAUUCUUCGGUGCUCAGCUUUUUUUUUUUUUUAUGGUCCAACUCUCACAUCCAUACAUGACUAGUGGAAA
Long non-coding RNA from Bos indicus x Bos taurus (hybrid cattle), 1459 nucleotides. Lineage: Eukaryota; Metazoa; Chordata; Mammalia; Artiodactyla; Bovidae. The record is from Ensembl.